Long non-coding RNA from Oncorhynchus nerka (sockeye salmon), 542 nucleotides. RefSeq lists it as uncharacterized. The transcript is spliced from 4 exons. NCBI's taxonomy places the organism in Eukaryota, Metazoa, Chordata, Actinopteri, Salmoniformes, Salmonidae. The record is from RefSeq and is a predicted model, not a curated record.
CAACCCAGAAGCAGACAGAGAAGCAUGCUCUCCAGUUGAAGGCUGUAGAGGAGUUGGCUGAAGCCUUGAAGGCAGUGCUGAGAGGUCAGGAGAGCCUGGUCGAUGACAAGGUCCAGCUGCUCCACUGUAACUGGGUCGCUGUCACCUCCAGGAGUGAGGAGUGGUUAAAGCUACUGCUGGACUACCAGAGCCAGCUGAGACAUUGGAUGUGAAUAUGAAGGUGAUAAAGGAGUGGAUGGAGGGAGCAGAGAAAGAGAUGGGACGUGAUAGAGAACAGGGGACCCAACGACCCUGUCCUCAAGGGUCUGCGUGGGGACUUGGAGGUGAUGCAUGGUAAGGUGGAGGCGGUGCAGGUGCUACACCAGGGUCUGAUGGGUACUUGUAGGGGAACACUGCCAGGCACAGCUGGGGCCCAAACUGGAAAAACUCAACCAGCGUUUUGACAGCAUCGCACAGCGCAUCACUGCAGGACAGGCAGCAGCAUCAGCGGUGGAGGUGGAGCAGUUCCACAGUGAAGCUAAGAUCUGGCUGGACCUGCUGGA